RNAcentral lists this long non-coding RNA (2978 nucleotides) under Homo sapiens (human). RNAcentral's name for it is "non-protein coding lnc-TUBA3C-16:2". Lineage: Eukaryota; Metazoa; Chordata; Mammalia; Primates; Hominidae. The record is from RNAcentral.
GACAAUAAUACCCCACUUUUAUUCGCUAUAAUUUGCAAGAAAGAGAAAAUGGUGGAAUUUUUAUUGAAAAACAAAGCAAGUACACAUGCCGUUGAUAGCCUGAGAUGAGAACAGCCCUUAUGCUUGCUGUGCACUAUGACUCACCGGGUAUUGUCAACAUCCUUCUUAAACAAAAUAUUAAUGUCUUUACUCAAGACGUGUGGACAAGAUGCAGAAGAUUACGCUAUUUCUCGCUGUUUGACAGAAUUCAACAACAAAUUUUGGAACAUAAAAAGAUGAUACUUAAAAAUGAAUGUUGGAAGUUCUGAUGAAUCUGCAGUCAGCAUUUUCCAUGAACUGUGUGUGGAUUCAUUGCCUGCAUUAGAUGACGAAGUCUUGAGUGUUGCUGCUAAGCAGUGUGUCCCCGAGAAAGUGUCAGAGCCUUUAUGUGGACCUUCCCAUGGAAAAGGAAAACAGAAUAGUCAAUGGAAAAGGAGAAGGGCCUCCUGCAAAACAUCCUUCCUUGAAGCCUAGCACUGAAAUGGAAGAUCCUGCUGUGAAAGGAGCAGUACAAAGAAAGAAUGUACAGACAUUGAGAGCAGAACAAGCCUUACCAGUGGCUUCAGAGGAAGAGCAACAAAGACGUGAAAGAAGUGAAAAGAAGCAACCACAGGUCAAAGAAGGAAAUAAUACAUACAAAAGUGAAAAAAUACAACUAUCAGAAAAUAUAUGUCAUAGUACAUCUUCUGCUGCUGCUGACAGAUUAACCCAACAAAGAAAGAUUAGGAAAACAAUGCACCUUACAACAAGAAAAUGAAGAAAAAACAAAUGUUAAUAUGCUGUACAAAAAAAAUAGAGAAGAAUUAGAAAGGAAAGAGAAACAAUAUAACAAAGAAGUUGAAGCAAAACAACUUGAACCAACUGUUCAAUCACUAGAGAUGAAACCGAAGACUGCAAGAAAUACUCCAAAUCAGGAUUUUCAUAAUCAUGAAGAAAUGAAAGAUCUGAUGGAUGAAAAUUGCAUUUUGAAGACAGAUAUUGCUAUACUCAGACAGGAAAUAUGCAUAAUGAAAAAUGACAACCUGGAAAAAGAAAAUAAAUAUCUUAAGGACAUUAAAAUUGCUAAAGAAACAAAUGCUGCCCUUGAAAAGUGUAUAAAACUCAAUGAGGAAAUGAUAACAAAAACAGCAUUCCGGUAUCAACAAGAGCUUAAUGAUCUCAAAGCUGAGAAUACAAGGCUCAAUUCUGAACUGUUGAAGGAAAAAGAAAGCAAGAAAAAACUGGAAGCUGAAAUUGAAUCUUAUCAGUCUAGACUGGCUGCUGCUAUAAGUAAACACAGUGAAAAUGUGAAAACAGAAAGAAACCUGAAACUUGCUUUAGAGAGAACACAAGAUGUUUCUGAACAAGUAAAAAUGAGUUCUGAUAUUUCCGAAGUAGAAGAUAAGAAUUAGUUUCUUACUGAACAACUUUCUAAAAUGCAAAUUAAAUUCAAUACCUUAAAAGAUAAAUAAGUUCUGUAAGACAAGAGAUACUCUCAGAAAAAAGUCAUUGGCUUUAGAAACUGUACAAAAUGACCUAAGCCAAACACAGCAGCAAAUAAAGGAAAUGAAAGAGAUGUAUCAAAGUGCAGAAGCUAAAGUCAGUAAAUCCACUGGAAAGUGGAACUGUGUAGAAGAGAGGAUAUGUCAACUCCAACGUGAAAAUCCAUGGCUUGAACAGCAACUAGUUGAUGUUCAUCAGAAAGAGGAUCAUAAAGAGAUAGUAAUUAAUAUCCAAAGAGGCUUUAUUGAGAGUAGAAAGACCUCAUGCUAGAAGAGAAAAAUAAGAAGCUAAUGAAUGAAUAUGAUCAUUUAAAAGAAAGUCUCUUUCAAUAUGAGAGACAGAAAGCAGAACAGGUGGUUGUGAGACAACUUCAACAAGAAGUGGCUGAUUCCCUUAAAAAAUUAACUAUGUUAGAGUCUCCACUGGAAGGUACAUCAUGUUGUCACAUUAAUUUGGAUGAGACACAGGCCUCAAAGAAGAAAUGAAGAAAAAAAUGAAGAAUUAAGGAAACUUUUUAAGUUAGUAUCAUCACUGGAGUAUAAUGUGAAUCAAAUAAGAAAGAAAAAUCAUGAAUUAGAAGAAGAGGCAACUGGAUAUAAGAAAUUCCUGGAAAUGACAAUAAAUAUGUUAAGUGUAUUUGGAAAUGAAGACUUCGAUUGCCAUGGAGACUUAAAAACAGAUCAACUGAAAAUGAAUAUUCUGAUUAAGAAGCUAAAACAUAAGUCAUGCAGUUUGAUGAUCUUACAGUAGAGAAGGAAGCUGUAUCUUCAAAAUGUGUCAAUUUGGCUAAAGACAAUCAAGUUCUUCAACAGGAGUUAUUAUCGAUGAAAAAAGUACAACAGGAAUGUGAAAAACUUGAGGAGGAUAAAAAGAUGUUGGAAGAAGAAAUAUUAAAUCUUAAGACACAUAUGGAAAACAAUAUGGUAGAACUUAGUAAACUACAAGAAUAUAAAUCGGAGCUAGAUGAAAGGGCAAUGCCGGCAGUAGAAAAAUUAGAAGAAAUCCAUUUACAGGUUAGUUUUUUAAAUCAGGUAAGUUUAUCUGUAAUAGCAGUUAAGGAUAAUACGGCUUCACUAAAUAAGAAGGAACUCACACUUAAAGAUGUGGAAUGUAAAUUCUCCAAAAUGAAAACUACUUAUGAAGAGGUUACAACCAAAUUAGAAGAAUAUAAGGAAGCCUUUGCAGCAGCACUGAAAGCUAACAAUUCCAUGUCAAAAAAAUUAACGAAAUCUAAUAAGAAAAUAGCAAUGAUCAGCACCAAGCUCCUUAUGGAGAAAGAGCGGGUGAAAUAUUUUCUCAGCACUCUUCCUACAAGGCGAGGCCCAGAGUCACCUUGUGUUGAAAAUCUUACUAGUAUAGGACUCAACAGAAAAUAUAUUCCCCAAAUGCCCGUAAGAAUUCCUACUUCAAACCCCCAGACCUCAAAUAACUGCAAGAACUACUUGACUGAGGUUCGU